GCCCCGGUAGUAUAGCCCGGACUAGUAUGCGGGCCUGUCGAGCCCGUGACCCGGGUUCAAAUCCCGGCCGGGGCGCCA
Molecule: transfer RNA, 78 nt
Filed under: Pyrobaculum aerophilum
Lineage: Archaea; Thermoproteati; Thermoproteota; Thermoprotei; Thermoproteales; Thermoproteaceae
Also listed under: 9 other names
Description: tRNA-Asp
Rfam family: tRNA
About the family: Transfer RNA (tRNA) molecules are approximately 80 nucleotides in length.
Source: RNAcentral